GUCCUCGGUAACGUGUACAUCUGUUCUCAGAGGAACUUGUGUAGUGGGAAGGCUUGUGGCUUUACAACCUGUACUGAAGGCUCUGUAGUCAAAGACAUCAUCUAGAGUUAUCCACUGCUCGUCUAGUCUUUUCUAGAAACUCAAAACGUAAGGAGACUUGAACAACUGAUCAGGGUCAUGGAUCCUCACCGAGAGCCACACCACUCACCGCAGAGUGAACCAACAGGAGACCCAGAAGAACUUACAGGUCAGCCA
This is a long non-coding RNA of Homarus americanus (American lobster), 255 nucleotides long. RefSeq lists it as uncharacterized. The record is from RefSeq and is a predicted model, not a curated record. The transcript has 3 exons. NCBI's taxonomy places the organism in Eukaryota, Metazoa, Arthropoda, Malacostraca, Decapoda, Nephropidae.